CGCCUCUUGACAAAAUAUAAGAGGUCCAGCCUGCCCAGUGAUAAAAUUCAACGGCCGCGGUACCCUAACCGUGCGAAGGUAGCAUAAUCACUUGUUCUCUAAAUAGGGACUAGUAUCAACGGCAUCACGAGGGCUAUACUGUCUCCUUUCUCUAAUCAGUGAAACUGAUCCCCCCGUGAAGAAGCGGGGAUUAAAAUAUAAGACGAGAAGACCCCAUGGAGCUUUAAACUUAACAUAUACCUCUAUACUCUAUAUCAAAUAAAUUCUAGAAUUCUAUAUGCUAGUUUUAGGUUGGGGUGACCACGGAGUAUAAUUUAACCUCCAUGACAAAUGGGCUAUGCCCUUAUCCAUGAACUACAACUCUAAGAAUCAUAAACUGAUGUUUAUUGACCCGAUAAUUCGAUCAACGAACCAAGUUACCCUGGGGAUAACAGCGCAAUCUACUUCAAGAGCCCCUAUCGACAGGUAGGUUUACGACCUCGAUGUUGGAUCAGGGUAUCCUAGUGGUGCAGCCGCUUCUAAUGGUUCGUUUGUUCAACGAUUAAAACCC
Molecule: ribosomal RNA, 550 nt
Filed under: Babina subaspera (Otton frog)
Lineage: Eukaryota; Metazoa; Chordata; Amphibia; Anura; Ranidae
Description: partial 16S ribosomal RNA
Rfam family: Bacterial large subunit ribosomal RNA
Source: RNAcentral